RNAcentral lists this small RNA (704 nucleotides) under Pan troglodytes (chimpanzee). RNAcentral's name for it is "processed transcript". Lineage: Eukaryota; Metazoa; Chordata; Mammalia; Primates; Hominidae. The record is from RNAcentral.
GCCCCGCGGCGGUGCGCGCGUGAGAGGGAGCGCGCGGGCAGCCGAGCGCCGGUGUGAGCCCGCGCUGCUGCCAGUGUGAGCGGCGGUGUGAGCGCGGUGGGUGCGGAGGGGCGUGUGUGCCGGCGCGGGCGCCGUGGGGUGCAAACCCCGAGCGUCUACGCUGCCAUGAGGGGCGCGAACGCCUGGGCGCCAGUCUGCCUGCUGCUGGCUGCCGCCACCCAGCUCUCGCGGCAGCAGUCCCCAGAGAGACCUGUUUUCACAUGUGGUGGCAUUCUUACUGGAGAGUCUGGAUUUAUUGGCAGUGAAGGUUUUCCUGGAGUGUACCCUCCAAAUAGCAAAUGUACUUGGAAAAUCACAGUUCCCGAAGGAAAAGUAGUCGUUCUCAAUUUCCGAUUCAUAGACCUCGAGAGUGACAACCUGUGCCGCUAUGACUUUGUGGAUGUGUACAAUGGCCAUGCCAAUGGCCAGCGCAUUGGCCGCUUCUGUGGCACUUUCCGGCCUGGAGCCCUUGUGUCCAGUGGCAACAAGAUGAUGGUGCAGAUGAUUUCUGAUGCCAACACAGCUGGCAAUGGCUUCAUGGCCAUGUUCUCCGCUGCUGAACCAAACGAAAGAGGUAGAUUGGAGAUGGCAGAAAAAAAGAGUCAGUGAACUUAAAUAGAAAUUACUCAAUCUGAAGAAAAAGGAGGAAAAAGAUUGAAGAAAAA